Molecule: long non-coding RNA, 442 nt
Filed under: Helianthus annuus (common sunflower)
Lineage: Eukaryota; Viridiplantae; Streptophyta; Magnoliopsida; Asterales; Asteraceae
Description: sRNA HanXRQr2_Chr17g0820351
Source: RNAcentral
UUUAGUUUAUAGUUGAGCUUAGGUAUGGAAGACGGAAGCGCAUCAAGACAGAGUUCUUCAACUACCUAUGCCACAAUGAUUGUGAAGAUAGCGAUGAUCAUGGCUUGAAAAAACAUCGAAUUGAGUGAGUGGAAUUUAAGAUGACCUCAUCAGAUGUUGUGUAAGAGUAACGGAUUAAGGAAACAAAGUAGCGGGUGUGACAUCCUCCGGGUUCCGUUGAUGAAUUAGUCACUGUUCUUGACGCAAGCCCUACUUUUGAGUUUUGUUUACGGUUCCUGUUUUAGUACUAAGGAGGCAUGCUAUGAAUAUUUAUCUGAUAGCCCUUUUGAAUGGUGGCACAAGGGUGCUUGCUUCUUAUUCAUGUGGGAUGGAAGAGUGAGCAAUCUUUUCCUCAAAUGGUUCACAGCAUAUAUAUGGAGGUAGCAAGAAUGGCUUUAUAAAU